Molecule: ribosomal RNA, 327 nt
Filed under: uncultured eukaryote
Lineage: Eukaryota
Description: partial 18S ribosomal RNA
Rfam family: Eukaryotic small subunit ribosomal RNA
Source: RNAcentral
CCCUUAGAUGUCCUGGGCCGCACGCGCGCUACACUGAUACAAUCAACAAGCACCCAACCUUGGUCGAGAGGCCUGGGUAAUCUUGUGAAACUGUAUCGUGAUGGGGAUAGAUGCUUGUAAUUUUUCAUCUUCAACGAGGAAUUCCUAGUAGACGCGAGUCAUAAGCUCGCAUCGAUUAAGUCCCUGCCCUUUGUACACACCGCCCGUCGCUACUACCGAUUGAACGUUUUAGUGAGGCAUUUGGACCGACGCAUCUCAGUUUAACCGCUGGUUUGUGUUGGAAAGACUUCCAAACUUGAGCGUUUAGAGGAAGUAAAAGUCGUAACA